CAAAAAUAAAAGAUCAAAGGGGGAAAAUUACCCGAUCAAGUUCAGCUUCCAACAGCGAUCUCUCUUCAUCGACAGAUCCCAUGAUUGUAUUGCAAUUGAACCAGUCAAAGACUACAGAUUCAAAAUCCCCAAAUUAUAGGGCAAAGAAAUAUUAUAAUUGGUGAUGAAAACGCUGGGUAUUAUUUAUUUAUUUGUUAGCCUUAUAAAAUCAUAAUGUCAAGCGUCCUUUGGAGGAAACCGAAAUGGCAGAGCCGUGAUGAUUCGAUCCUUUGGCAUGAGGUUGAGUUUGAACGUAUAGAUUAGACGCUGAAGAAAAAGACGGAGUAGUUCUGGUAUUAUUCCCGGUUUGGCGAAAAGGCAGCUUAAAAAUUCCCCGAACUUUGCCAUCGGAGGGUGACUUUUGCUCGGUAUCUAUCGCCAUCUCUCUCGCAAGCAUAUGUACAGCACUGUGUGCCGCAUCGCGAAGAUUCUAAAACCGAAAAACCUUUACCGGAAUUUGGGAGUUUUAAGACGAAGAACAAACAACAACUGACUUGGCUUCGGUUGGGAUGAACCACAGAAUUGAAUAAGUGGUUUCUUUCUUGGAUGUGGGAAAUUAGGGAUUUUAGGGGGGAAAGUCGGGGAUUUCGGGGGAGGGAAUUUUUUUAAAAUGGCGCUAUUUUUGUAAAAGUAAAUUUUAUUUUGUGGCUUUUUUUAUAAAAACGCCGCUAUUGCUUAUCUAUUGCGGCGUUUUUCAUAAAAACGUCG
Molecule: long non-coding RNA, 747 nt
Filed under: Gossypium raimondii (Peruvian cotton)
Lineage: Eukaryota; Viridiplantae; Streptophyta; Magnoliopsida; Malvales; Malvaceae
Description: long non-coding RNA (GRAI_LNC010588)
Source: RNAcentral